RNAcentral lists this ribosomal RNA (495 nucleotides) under uncultured bacterium. Its description in RNAcentral is "partial 16S ribosomal RNA". It matches the Rfam family "Bacterial small subunit ribosomal RNA", at positions 28 to 507 of the family's 1533-position model. The record is from RNAcentral.
GACGAACGCUGGCGGCGUGCCUAAUACAUGCAAGUAGAACGCUGAAGGAGGAGCUUGCUUCUCUGGAUGAGUUGCGAACGGGUGAGUAACGCGUAGGUAACCUGCCUGGUAGCGGGGGAUAACUAUUGGAAACGAUAGCUAAUACCGCAUAAGAGUAGAUGUUGCAUGACAUUUGCUUAAAAGGUGCAAUUGCAUCACUACCAGAUGGACCUGCGUUGUAUUAGCUAGUUGGUGAGGUAACGGCUCACCAAGGCGACGAUACAUAGCCGACCUGAGAGGGUGAUCGGCCAAACUGGGACUGAGACACGGCCCAGACUCCUACGGGAGGCAGCAGUAGGGAAUCUUCGGCAAUGGACGGAAGUCUGACCGAGCAACGCCGCGGGAGUGAAGAAGGUUUUCGGAUCGUAAAGCUCUGUUGUAAGAGAAGAACGAGUGUGAGAGUGGAAAGUUCACACUGUGACGGUAUCUUACCAGAAAGCGACGGCUAACUACGUG